This 435-nucleotide ribosomal RNA is filed under the name uncultured bacterium. RNAcentral describes it as "partial 16S ribosomal RNA". It matches the Rfam family "Bacterial small subunit ribosomal RNA", at positions 29 to 507 of the family's 1533-position model. The record is from RNAcentral.
ACGCACGCUGGCGGCAUGCCUCACCCCUGCAAGUCGCACGAUGGUCUUCGGAUCAUAGUGGCGCACGGGUGCGUAACGCGUGGGAAUCUGCCCUUGGGUUCGGAAUAACAGUUGGAAACGACUGCUAAUACCGGAUGAUGUCGAUAAGACCAAAGAUUUAUCGCCCGAGGAUGAGCCCGCGUCGGAUUAGCUAGUUGGUGGGGUAAAGGCCUACCAAGGCGACGAUCCGUAGCUGGUCUGAGAGGAUGAUCAGCCACACUGGGACUGAGACACGGCCCAGACUCCUACGGGAGGCAGCAGUGGGGAAUAUUGGACAAUGGGCGCAAGCCUGAUCCAGCAAUGCCGCGUGAGUGAUGAAGGCCUUAGGGUUGUAAAGCUCUUUUACCCGGGAAGAUAAUGACUGUACCGGGAGAAUAAGCCCCGGCUAACUCCGUG